This 220-nucleotide unclassified non-coding RNA is filed under the name Thelephoraceae sp. 'Taylor #9'. Its description in RNAcentral is "ITS2". The record is from RNAcentral. Lineage: Eukaryota; Fungi; Basidiomycota; Agaricomycetes; Thelephorales; Thelephoraceae.
AACACCUCAACUCUCAUGGUUUGCCAUGAUGAGAUUGGACUUUGGGGGUCUUGCUGGCCUAUGGGUCAGCUCCUCUCAAAUGAAUCAGCUUGCCAGUGUUUGGUGGCAUCACAGGUGUGAUAACUAUCUACGCUUGUGGUUUUCCAUCAGAUAACCUUCAGUGAUGGAGGUUCGCUGGGGCUCAUAAAUGUCUCUCCUCAGUGAGGACAGCUUUUUGAAC